GACGAACGCUGGCGGCGUGCCUAAUACAUGCAAGUCGAGCGGACCUCUUCAACUCUUCGGAGUUGAAGAGGUUAGCGGCGGACGGGUGAGUAACACGUGGGUAACCUGCCCUUAAGACUGGGAUAACAUUCGGAAACGGAUGCUAAUACCGGAUACGCAAUAGCGUCGCAUGAAGCUAUUGGGAAAGGCGGAGCAAUCUGCCACUUAAGGAUGGACCCGCGGUGCAUUAGCUAGUUGGUGAGGUAAAGGCUCACCAAGGCGACGAUGCAUAGCCGACCUGAGAGGGUGAUCGGCCACACUGGGACUGAGACACGGCCCAG
RNAcentral lists this ribosomal RNA (320 nucleotides) under uncultured bacterium. RNAcentral describes it as "bacterial SSU rRNA". It matches the Rfam family "Bacterial small subunit ribosomal RNA", at positions 28 to 334 of the family's 1533-position model. The record is from RNAcentral.